CAGAGUGCGGCACCAGGGGGCAGCGCGCGCUGCGCGUCCGUUGAAGGAGUGGCGGACGGAGCUGAACAUGUGUAGUCAGCCGGCAUUUUUCGAGUCGUGUUGUAAAUGUUGUUAAUUCGCCGUAAAUAUCUCUUGAUUUGUGCUCAAGAGUGGAGCAAGACCCCAAGGAAGAGAUAUUGACGCAUCGGGAGCGAAGAACAGCAACGAUGGAUGGUUACGCUGCUUGGGUCUCGGCACGUUCGAACUGGCAAAGUUCCGAAUUUGUCGCUGUGUUGUGUACGCUUGUGCGCUCAUCAUUUGCCGUCAUCGCGCGGAGAUAUUUGCGCUGGAUGUCUUUCACUUCGUGUACAAAACUCUGCACGCUGCGGCAUCGAAGAAGUUGUCCUGUGUUUGGGUGCACGUAUGCGCUUGGACACGGAUAGCCUGCUUGCUCUCAACGGGUGUUCAACAGUCUACGCGCGCUCGUAACUUCCUCAUGAGGCAAGUUGCUGUUGUGCUGGAGCUGAGAAGAGGUCUGCUGCCUGCAAUGGGUCCAUCUCUCUCAAGGUAUUGCAGUAGUAUAGCUCUCAAGGUUCAAAAAAAGUAUGGUGGAAGCUGUUGCCAAGGUUCCGACCAGAAAAGACAGCCAGUAUAAAAGGGUCCACGCCACUGAUCUCUACUACAGGGGAUGAACAGCACAUCGAGCGCCCUCGACUGAAGCCGGCCUUGUCCUAGAAGUUGGUGCUUCACAACUUUGCGGCAGCACUUUGUUGCACGGCCUGUGGAGACAAGGUUUCUUAGACAUGGCCAUGGCCCUCAAGGAAGAUGCCGAGGCCACAGGCAGUUCCUCCAGUGACCGUGAAAAGGUCCCCUGGGGCACAAGUCUGGUUUGGCACCCCCGCCUUUCUCCUGCAGCUUUUCUGUCUACUUAGCUAACCAGGUGGGUCAAUGAUGGCAAAGGGAAAAAACAAUCAACAGCAUCAAAUGCAGAACUUGCUCAAGCUCAAUGCAUUUUUGGUGUGGUUUUUCCCUUAUCAUUUAUCAAAAAACGGGUAAUAAGUAUAUGAUAUGGUCUUCAUACGGACACCUCUUUCCCACAGAGAAUUAGCAGUAAAAAAAGCAGCUUAUGAAGGCUUGAAUAUUAGCUAGGAUGAUGUGGCAUAGAUAGGGUAAUGAUUAUGAAUGUUUCUAAUGAAGGUAGUGGUGGUAGAGUGAAUAAUCAUAGUUUAUAUAUAGAUUGAAAGACAUUUCGUUCCAAUGCCAGAAUUUUAAAUCAUCCCAAAUAAUCCUUGCAUUUUAUAGUCUUCAUUUUAUAGUUCUUGAUGCUUGCUUCUUGCGGACAUCAUUCUUAUGCUGCAUAAGUCACCUGUUAUAAAUUCCCUAUUUCUCCCGUUCAAGCAACUUCCAGAAACUUGCUGAUGAGAUUAGGGGGCGGCGUGCACCCAAGGCUGAGAUAUGCAUUCAAGAGCCUCAUAUCUUGCAAAUGUUAGAAAUACUCCUGCUAAGCAAGUUCUUGGUGUCAUACAAGGUUAUUUGCGAAUACGAAUUUGCCUAAAUUUAGAAAGCAGUCAAUAUAAAACAUGUCAAGCGAUAUCGCUGACGAUACACACACAUUCCCACUGAACUAAAUACAAAUAAACAUAGCACCAAAUGCAGAAUCAUUGGCAUGAUGCCAUUCUUUCAGUGGAAUAAAAUCUGUCCUGCAUUGUAAAUCUGGAAUCCUUUAUAAUCCAGAAUACUAAAUACUUAUGAGGGUUGUAACGUAAAAUAUGCAUGUAUUUAUUCCUCGUUUUUUUACUUUAGGAUCCGAUAAUGCUUAAACAGCAGUGAAAGAACUGAGAUCACAGUACCUAAUACUUUAUAUUGCUCCAGAAAUCCGUUUCUCUGCCGAUCGCAGCAUUAGACUCUAACAAAAAGGCACAUAACACUUAGGGUGGUGCUAUUCACUUUGAUUGUUUGGGAACGAAACCCAUAAUGUACAUGUUAUGGCCCUACGUGUCAUUACGUUUGAACAACAAAAAGGUAGGGGGUUUGCGUUUUGCAAAACUGCAUGGAAGUUUUCACUGUGUGCAAUUAAAAUUAGGAACCUUCCCAGCUCAUACUAAAUGCAUUCUCCAAAGCUUUAGGUUAUACAGGUGCACUACUUUACACAGAACACACUCUUUUCCCUCGUCACGGCUCACACUCUUAGGCAGAGUUACAACCUUUGAAGUGCC
Dermacentor albipictus is the source of this 2195-nucleotide non-coding RNA. NCBI's taxonomy places the organism in Eukaryota, Metazoa, Arthropoda, Arachnida, Ixodida, Ixodidae. The record is from RefSeq and is a predicted model, not a curated record.